This 1059-nucleotide long non-coding RNA is filed under the name Pogona vitticeps (central bearded dragon). Its description in RNAcentral is "lncRNA (ENSPVIG00000006512.1)". The record is from RNAcentral. Lineage: Eukaryota; Metazoa; Chordata; Lepidosauria; Squamata; Agamidae.
UUUAAGUACACUGUGGGAGCAAAAGAUUUCCCCAACUCUAUUGCAAGACAGCUAUAUUCCAAGCAGACGAAGAGACCAAUCAGAGAGCAGCAGCAUCUAAACAGGAAGAACUCUGGAGGGUUUUACAUCAUAAAUGACGGGGGUUGAAACAUCUGAAAGAAGGUGCCGCUGCAGGGACACAAAGAAGAAUGGAGAAGAGAAACUGACUGGCUGAAGGGCGAGAAACCAAAAAAAACACACACGAUUGAACAAUUGAACCAUCUCCUCCAUUCUCAAACAGAAUGUGGAAGGAAAAGCUGCCGACACUGAGAAGAUAAAAUGGCACGCAAAAAAGCCAAAGGAGCAGGCAAGAAAAAAGAUGCCAAGGAGAAGCCUGAUGAUGCCAAGGAGAAGCCUGAUGAUGCCAAGCCUGCAGGGGAUGAAGGAGAAAAAAUUAUAAGUGAAAAAACACCCUUGGAAAAAAUAAUGAAUUUUUUUCAAACUCCACUGGGUCUAUUUCUGGCCAUAGUAAUCACCAUCUUCCUUGUUUUCUUGGCAGUACAAGCUGUCAUUAUGUGUCUGAAUGAGUGGGAAAAAACAGCUGACCUACGACAUGCAAUGCAGCUCGUUAAGACAUUUAUGAUGAGAAAAGAUUCAAGCUAUGAAGAUAAGGAUGGACAUUGUUCCAUCCAGUGGCAGAAAAUACAUGAGGGCAUGAGAGGCUGCAUAGAGGGAGAGAGAGCAUCUCAUGGGAUCCACAGCAUUACCUUCAGGAAGGUAAUCAGCUGGUUGAGCAACAAGGGUCUGCUUUCUGCACCCUAGGAUUCCAAACUGGAGCUCCCUACAUGCAAACCAAGAGUUUGUUUUUGCUGUGCGACCUUGCAGAGAAACAAAGAAUCGAUAGAAAAUGGGGGAGAGGGUGUUAUUUCUCAUUUUUCCAUAGAAGAAGCCACUCUUUUCUGGCAGGCAACUACAUACAAGCCAAUUAGCAUGCCCUCCCAUUGCAAAAGCAACCUCCCGGACUCAUUGCCGUCCCAACCCUGGAAUAAAGACAUGAGACAGUAAUAUGGGUUAAAUAUG